This 2173-nucleotide long non-coding RNA is filed under the name Lathyrus oleraceus (garden pea). RNAcentral's name for it is "Pisum sativum (pea) long non-coding RNA (PSAT_LNC040196)". Lineage: Eukaryota; Viridiplantae; Streptophyta; Magnoliopsida; Fabales; Fabaceae. The record is from RNAcentral.
UCAGCAUACAAUUUCAUUGUCCAUGUUAACGUCCAUGAGUCUCCCUCCUAAAACUAACCUGAGGGAAAAACUCGUCGCUCUAAAAAUCACCUCUGACGAUGUUGGAGGUUCAAACACCUUCAAACUUAUAUCAAACUACUCCUACUUAAUCCCUCUCUUAUAAUCUCAACUUCGUUUCUUCCAAUUCCUAACCUAAUUUCCAAAUCAACAUAAAAUGUCUAUGAACCCUAACAUUUCAAACCACACUUAAACGCGAAAUAAGCAUGAAAUAGAGCCUAAACCUUAGGGGCUUGGCUCCUUAGAGAUGAAGCUACAUCAUGGUGGUCAUUUUUGCAUGGACCAAAGAGGAAAAGGGAAGGAGCUUACUUGCUAGAGAAACUAUGGCGGCUCUUCCAGAUGUUGAUGUUGAGUACGAAGGUUCAGAGUCUUCUGCUUCUUCCGGUAACCUUUGCAACUUCUUCAAAUUCCUCCUUAUUCUUCUACAAACUUUCCUUAGUCUGUAGGUGGUAAUUUUUGUGAUUUGUUAUUGUGUGUUAUUGUUGAAUGCGUUUUGAGUGGGAGAGAGUAUAUUAGAGAGAUGAGUUGAGAUUCAGAGAGAAUUGAGAGGCGAAUUUGAGAUAUUUUUGUGGAGUGUUAUAGAAUAUGAUUGAUCAUCAAUGAUUGAAGAGGAUGAGGAUUGUAUAGAGGGUGAAUCCUAACUAAUAUGGGCAAUGAAAUCGGGCAGAGUUUGUUAUCAGUUAGGGCAGGGUUAAGUUUUAGUUAGGUUGAAGGGAAAGUUGUUAGUUAUGAACUAACAUUGUGAAAUUCUGUUAGUUAGUUUGUUAAGUUGGUUAGUGAAAUCAAUUAGGUGAAGUGUUUGAAUUGUGCGUUAGUUAACAUGCUAUUAAAUUUUGUUAGUGUUGAGCACAGUAAGAUUGAAGGUUAGUGUUAGUUAACUUUGAACUUUUGUUCAAAACUGUUAGUAUGAUGAGCUCAUGUUAGUAUUAUCAAUGUUAAUGAAUUUCCUACUGUAUUGCAAAUGUUUGAACGAAUCUGAAUUGUGAUGCUACUAGUUAUUGUUAGAGAUUGAAUGUUAUCAUGUUAGUAUGAAUUAGAUUGAGGUUAGUUGCUUGUCCUGUUUUAUGUUGAACUUAGUUGGUGAAUUAAAAUGAACUAUUAAUUAGUCUUCAGUUAAGUAAGUGUAGUGAUGACUAUUAUGUCGGAACUGAAUUAGUUAAUUAAAUAUAGGUUUGACAUUAUGUAGGGUUGUGAGUAAUUAAUAAGGAUAGGAAAUGUCAUAAUUUGUUAGUGAUGUUAGAAUGUCUGAAUUUGGAUUUAGUUGUGUAGUUAGACUGACUGUUAGUUUGAAUUGUGAGAAAGUGGCUAUUAACUAGAGUUAAUUCUUCUGGUUAGUUUAGAUUAGUCGAAUAUGUUAGCAUUGUUGUUAGUCAAGUUAGUUGGUGUUGAGAAUUGGAGAAGUUGAUUAAAUGUUAGUGAAGUGGUCACAUUGGUCAAGCGUGAGUUAACUUAGUUAGGACUGUUAGCUAAUGUUGUUUAAUUGUUAGGUGUUAGUGUUUGAAUUAACAAUUGCAGUGUUAGUUGUAUCUAAAAAUUAGAAGUUGAAUCUGGUUGGAGUUUAUAUGAAUGAAUGGUUGUAUUGAAAUUGUUAUGCAGUAUUGGGUGAACUAUUUGUGACUGUUUGUGUAUUGGUUUUUGUAUGGUUUACUUGAUUGUGUAUUGACCAUGUUUGAAUUGGAUGAAAUCUGUAUAUGAAUUGAUUUGAUCUCUCUGAUGUGUAUGGUGUUUUCUCCAUUGAUGCAGGGCUGGCCGUGAGUUGGGUAUUAGCAUUUUGGCAAAAAAUGAUUAAGGUGGAGUCUUGGCAUGGAAAAUGAAGUAUUGGGAAUGCAUUUGAAGUCCAUAAAAGUCCCUAUGAAGAAUCAAGAGAAAGUAGGCUUAGGGCAGAUUUAGGGGUAGUUUUGACAUUUGGUCAACUGUUUGGCCAAAAUUUCAAUAGUUGAUCAAAGUCAACCCUAGGUCAAAGUAACAUUUUUUGUAAAGAAUUUUGUAAUCUUGAUUUUGUUAUGAAAUUUGAAAGUUUUGUAAUGGAAAUAGCCCUCUUGGAUGAAUUGCAUCUUGUCUCUUUCAACUUAGAUUUUUCCCUCCAAAAUCCAAACUUUGAACAUUUGAAAUUGAA